UAGAUAAACUGUAGAUUAUUGUAUUAUGAUUGUAGAUGCUUUGUUUUCUGUUUUCAUAAAUCAAAAACGACUAAAACUUCUACAAAUCUUCUGCAAAAAAUGCAAUUGUGUCGAAAAUACCAAUGAAGCUACAAUUGAAUGAGAAACAGUUCCAAUGUCGAAUAUACCAAUUAAGCUACAACCGAACCUCAAUCCCACGUACUAACGGUUAGAUUUAUGCUUUCGUGUCAACAUGCAGAAUAUAUUUGAAUGCUAGCGGCAAGUGAAUGCAUGUUAAAGCUCGAUGUAGAGUAACAGAAAGUUCAAA
Molecule: long non-coding RNA, 307 nt
Filed under: Nicotiana benthamiana
Lineage: Eukaryota; Viridiplantae; Streptophyta; Magnoliopsida; Solanales; Solanaceae
Description: long non-coding RNA (NBEN_LNC013956)
Source: RNAcentral